RNAcentral lists this ribosomal RNA (251 nucleotides) under uncultured prokaryote. RNAcentral's name for it is "partial 16S rRNA". It matches the Rfam family "Bacterial small subunit ribosomal RNA", at positions 525 to 775 of the family's 1533-position model. The record is from RNAcentral.
ACGUAGGGGGCGAGCGUUGUCCGAAGUUACUGGGCGUAAAGCGCGUGUAGGCGGCCCUUUAAGUGACUGGUGAAAUCCCCGGGCUCAACUCGGGAGUGUCUGGUCAUACUGGGGGGCUAGAGUGCGGGAGAGGUGAGCGGAACUCCUGGUGUAGCGGUGAUAUGCGUAGAGAUCAGGAAGAACACCCGUAGCGAAGGCGGCUCACUGGACCGUAACUGACGCUGAGACGCGAAAGCCAGGGGAGCGAACGG